Molecule: microRNA precursor, 58 nt
Filed under: Caenorhabditis brenneri
Lineage: Eukaryota; Metazoa; Nematoda; Chromadorea; Rhabditida; Rhabditidae
Description: microRNA cbn-mir-76 precursor
Gene: cbn-mir-76
Source: miRBase by way of RNAcentral
AGGACUUCACAAUAGUCGAAUACCGAUAGCAGGAUAUUCGUUGUUGAUGAAGUCUUAA